RNAcentral lists this ribosomal RNA (390 nucleotides) under uncultured bacterium. RNAcentral describes it as "bacterial SSU rRNA". It matches the Rfam family "Bacterial small subunit ribosomal RNA", at positions 29 to 408 of the family's 1533-position model. The record is from RNAcentral.
AGCGAACGUUUGCGGCGGGCUUAACACAUGCAAGUCGAACGGGCUGUUCCUUCGGGGGCAGUCAGUGGCGCACGGGUGCGUAACACGUAGGUAAUCAACCCUUCAGCUCGGGAUAACACUUCGAAAGGAGUGCUAAUACCGGAUGUGAUGCAGGGCUCUUCGGAGUGCUGCAGGAAAGAUCCGCAAAGGGGUCACGUGAAAGGACGAGCCUCGCGGCCCAUCAGCUAGUUGGCGAGGUAAUGGCUCACCAAGGCGAAGACGGGUAGCUGGUCUGAGAGGAUGAUCAGUCACACUGGAACUGAGACACGGUCCAGGACUCCUACGGGAGGCAGCAGUGGGGAACUAUUGCGCAAUGGGCGAAAGCCUGACGCAGCCACGCCGCGUGAGCGA